Molecule: transfer RNA, 73 nt
Filed under: Cordylochernes scorpioides
Lineage: Eukaryota; Metazoa; Arthropoda; Arachnida; Pseudoscorpiones; Chernetidae
Description: tRNA-Thr
Rfam family: tRNA
About the family: Transfer RNA (tRNA) molecules are approximately 80 nucleotides in length. Their secondary structure includes four short double-helical elements and three loops (D, anti-codon, and T loops).
Source: RNAcentral
UCCAGGGUAGCCUAGUGGACAUGGUAUCUGCCUGGUAAGCGGAACACUGUGGGUUCGAUUCCCAUCCCUGGAC